AAAGCUGUUUCUUCCCAUCAGCAUGUCUCUGUCUUUAUUCCCAGAAGAUGGCAGGAGGAAAGAGCAGCCUGAUCACUACAAACAGACUUUGAUUUGGGCUGUUGAAAAGGUCACUAUACGUCUUCCUCGGCGUUACAUUCUGGGUGCAGACUGGUGACGCUUGGACCCGAAGCCCGCUUCUCAGAUCACUGUGACACGAUGGACCUGAGCCCUAGGACCAUGCCCCAGGACUACCUGACAUGAUGACUCCUUGCUGUCCCCAGUCCACCUGGCCAUGCUGCUGCUCCAGUUUCAACUGGCCUGGGCCCUAGGACCAUGUCCCAGGACUACCUGACAUGAUGACUCCUUGCUGUCCCCAGUCCACCUGGCCAUGCUGCUGCUCCAGUUUCAACUGUUCUGCCUUACUAUUAUUCAACCAUACUGGUCAUUUAUGAACAUUUGAACAUCUUGGCCACGUUCUGUUAUAAUCUCCACCCGGCACAGCCAGAAGAGGACUGGCCACCCCACAUAUGCUCUCUCUAAUUCUCUCUUUCUUUCUCUCUCUCGGAGGACCUGAGCCCUAGGACCGUGCCCCAGGACUACCUGACAUGAUGACUCCUUGCUGUCCCCAGUCCACCUGACUGUGCUGCUGCUCCAGUUUCAACUCUUCUGCCUUAUUAUUAUUCGACCAUGCUGGUCAUUUAUGAACAUUUGAACAUCUUGGUCAUGUUCUGUUAUAAUCUCUACCCGGCACAGCCAGAAGAGGACUGGCCACCCCACAUAGCCUGGUUCCUCUCUAGGUUUCUUCCUAGGUUUUGGCCUUUCUAGGGAGUUUUUCCUAGCCACCGUGCUUUUACACCUGCAUUGUUUGCUGUUUGGGGUUUUAGGCUGGGUUUCUGUACAGCACUUUGAGAUAUCAGCUGAUGUACGAAGGGCUAUAUAAAUACAUUUGAUUUGAUUUGAUUUGAUAAUGGUUAUAAUGGUUAUAAUGGUUAUCAUGGUUAUGAGGGUUAUAACGGUUAUAAGGGCCAUAUUGGUUAUAAUGGUUAUAAUGGUUGUAAUGGUUAUGAAGGUUAUAAUGGUUAUAAUGGUGAUAAGGGUUAUAAUGGUAAUAGGGGUUAUAAUGGUUAUAAUGGUAAUAGGGGUUAUAAUGGUGUCACGUUCUGACCUUUAUUUCCUUUCUUUUGUAUUUAUUUAGUAUGGUCAGGGCGUGAGUUGCGUGGGCAGUCUAUGUUUGUUUUUCUAGGUUUUGGGUAUUUCUAUGUUUCGGCCUAGUAUGGUUCUCAAUCAGAGGCAGGUGUCAUUAGUUGUCUCUGAUUGAGAAUCAUACUUAGGUAGCCUGGGUUUCACUGUGUGUUUGUGGGUGAUUGUUCCUGUCUUUGUGUUUGCACCAGAUGGGACUGUUUUAGGUUUUCUCACGUUUGUUGUUUUUGUUAGUGUGUAGUUUCUUUAUAAAUUAAAGAACAUGAAUAACCA
Long non-coding RNA from Oncorhynchus nerka (sockeye salmon), 1455 nucleotides. RefSeq lists it as uncharacterized. NCBI's taxonomy places the organism in Eukaryota, Metazoa, Chordata, Actinopteri, Salmoniformes, Salmonidae. The transcript is spliced from 2 exons. The record is from RefSeq and is a predicted model, not a curated record.